UAAUAAGUGUUUUAUGGCACUUUUUAAUACCAUAUCCACCUUGUGUGCAAUGUCAGUCGAUCUUCUUCAUGGAGAUCGACCAAACAUCAACCUUUAUCUUUUAACUCUUUGUCUGAAAAUAUUAUGAAUAAACCAAUUCAAAUA
This 144-nucleotide unclassified non-coding RNA is filed under the name soil metagenome. Its description in RNAcentral is "partial internal transcribed spacer 1". The record is from RNAcentral.